GCUCAGAGUGAACGCUGGCGGUAGGCCUAACACAUGCAAGUCGAACGGCAGCACAGGAGAGCUUGCUCUCUGGGUGGCGAGUGGCGGACGGGUGAGGAAUACAUCGGAAUCUACUCUGUCGUGGGGGAUAACGUAGGGAAACUUACGCUAAUACCGCAUACGACCUACGGGUGAAAGCAGGGGACCUUCGGGCCUUGCGCGAUUGAAUGAGCCGAUGUCGGAUUAGCUAGUUGGCGGGGUAAAGGCCCACCAAGGCGACGAUCCGUAGCUGGUCUGAGAGGAUGAUCAGCCACACUGGAACUGAGACACGGUCCAGACUCCUACGGGAGGCAGCAGUGGGGAAUAUUGGACAAUGGGCGCAAGCCUGAUCCAGCCAUACCGCGUGGGUGAAGAAGGCCUUCGGGUUGUAAAGCCCUUUUGUUGGGAAAGAAAUCCAGCUGGCUAAUACCCGGUUGGGAUGACGGUACCCAAAGA
Molecule: ribosomal RNA, 474 nt
Filed under: Stenotrophomonas maltophilia
Lineage: Bacteria; Pseudomonadati; Pseudomonadota; Gammaproteobacteria; Lysobacterales; Lysobacteraceae
Description: bacterial SSU rRNA
Rfam family: Bacterial small subunit ribosomal RNA
Source: RNAcentral